AUACUCUUUAGCUUGCUAGAGAGGAAAGUGGCGCACGGGUGCGUAACGCGUAUGCAACCUACCUUAAUCAGGGGGAUAGCCCGAAGAAAUUCGGAUUAACACCGCAUAAAAACACAGGAUAGCAUUAUCCAAUGUUCAAAUAUUUAUAGGAUUAAGAUGGGCAUGCGUGUCAUUAGCUAGUUGGCGGGGUAACGGCCCACCAAGGCGACGAUGACUAGGGGAUCUGAGAGGAUGACCCCCCACACUGGUACUGAGACACGGACCAGACUCCUACGGGAGGCAGCAGUAAGGAAUAUUGGUCAAUGGAGGGAACUCUGAACCAGCCAUGCCGCGUGCAGGAAGACAGCCCUCUGGGUCGUAAACUGCUUUUAUUCGGGAAUAAACCUACUUACGUGUAAGUAGCUGAAUGUACCGAAGGAAUAAGGAUCGGCUAACUCCGUGCCAGCAGCCGCGGUAAUACGGAGGAUCCAAGCGUUAUCCGGAUUUAUUGGGUUUAAAGGGUGCGUAGGCGGCUUAUUAAGUCAGGGGUGAAAGACGGUGGCUCAACCAUCGCAGUGCCCUUGAUACUGAUGAGCUUGAAUGGACUAGAGGUAGGCGGAAUGUGACAAGUAGCGGUGAAAUGCAUAGAUAUGUCACAGAACACCGAUUGCGAAGGCAGCUUACUAUGGUCUUAUUGACGCUGAGGCACGAAAGCGUGGGGAUCAAACAGGAUUAGAUACCCUGG
RNAcentral lists this ribosomal RNA (724 nucleotides) under Pedobacter nyackensis. RNAcentral's name for it is "bacterial SSU rRNA". It matches the Rfam family "Bacterial small subunit ribosomal RNA", at positions 68 to 790 of the family's 1533-position model. The record is from RNAcentral. Lineage: Bacteria; Pseudomonadati; Bacteroidota; Sphingobacteriia; Sphingobacteriales; Sphingobacteriaceae.